GAUUUUGUCAAAAUGGCUUUUACUGACCCGUCUUGUAACACGGACCAAGGAGUCUACCUAUUAUGCGAGUGUUAGGGUGGAAAAACCCAAACGCCAACCGAAAGGGAUUUAAGAUGUGAGGCGCGAGCUACAACAUCAACCAAUCUUGAUUCUUUGAAGAAAGACUUGAGUAAGAGCAUAAUCGGUAGGACCCGAAAGAUGGUGAACUACGGUUGAGUAGGGUGAAGCCAGGGGAUACUCUGGUGGAGGCUCGAAGCGUUACUGACGUGCAAAUCGUUCGUCAAACUUGACUGUAGGGGCGAAAGACUAAUCGAACCAUCUAGUAGCUGGUUCCCUCUGAAAUUUCUCUCAGGAUAGCAGGAACAGAUAGAGCAGUUUUAUCAGGUAAAGCUAAUGAUUAGUGGCAUCGGGGGUCUUCGAUCCUUGACCAAUUCUCAAACUUUAAAUUGGUAAGAACCGAUAGUUUUCUUAAUUGAACUGUUGGGCAGAAUGCAUUGUUCUUAGUGGGCCAUUUUUGGUAAGCAGAACUGGCGAUGAGGGAUGAACCUAACGUUGAGAUAAGGUGCCCAAAUUCACGCUCAUCAGACACCA
Molecule: ribosomal RNA, 591 nt
Filed under: uncultured organism
Description: eukaryotic LSU rRNA
Rfam family: Eukaryotic large subunit ribosomal RNA
Source: RNAcentral